GAAAAGGUAAAUUCAUAGAAGAUAUUUAAUUAAAUAAAAAUAAUUCAAACUACUAAUAACAAUAUUUGUUUGUACACCAGACCAGUGUGGAAGCCUCUAAGGCUAAAACAUAGAUUCAGUUAUAUUUUGUACCUCAUUACAAAUUUAUCUUUUUUAUUUUUCAAAUAUUUCUUGCUUUUUUACUCACAAAUAGUGAUUACGUACUCCUAGCACUAGCAGUACUAAAUUCUGGUAUCUCUAUGCAGAUGAGUGGCUCUCUUUAGAUAUGCUCCAUUGAUGCAAAACAUUGCCAAAAAUAUCAUAGAAUACAAAAAUGGCGUUGGUGUCAGUGAUUUGCACUGACAUAAAACCUUGGCCA
This 358-nucleotide unclassified non-coding RNA is filed under the name Hevea brasiliensis (rubber tree). Lineage: Eukaryota; Viridiplantae; Streptophyta; Magnoliopsida; Malpighiales; Euphorbiaceae. The record is from RNAcentral.